AUUGAACGCUGGCGGCAGGCCUAACACAUGCAAGUCGAGCGAGCGGCGGACGGGUGUGUAUUGUCUGGGAAACUGCCUGAUGGAGGGGGAUAACUACUGGAAACGGUAGCUAAUACCGCAUACCAUCAGAUGUGCCCAGAUGUGAUUAGCUAGUAGGUGGGGUAACGGCUCACCUAGGCGACGAUCCCUAGCUGGUCUGAGAGGUUGACCAGCAACACUGGAACUGAGACACGGUCCAGACGCCUACGGGAGGCAGCAGUGGGGAAUAUUGCACAAUGGGCGCAAGCCUGAUGCAGCCAUGCCGCGUGUAUGAAGAAGGCCUUCGGGUUGUAAAGCACUUGCAGCGGGGAGGCGUUACCCGCAGAAGAAGCACCGGCUAACGCCGUGCCAGCAGCCGCGGUAAUUC
Molecule: ribosomal RNA, 406 nt
Filed under: uncultured bacterium
Lineage: Bacteria
Description: partial 16S ribosomal RNA
Rfam family: Bacterial small subunit ribosomal RNA
Source: RNAcentral